This 492-nucleotide ribosomal RNA is filed under the name uncultured bacterium. RNAcentral's name for it is "partial 16S ribosomal RNA". It matches the Rfam family "Bacterial small subunit ribosomal RNA", at positions 29 to 507 of the family's 1533-position model. The record is from RNAcentral.
AGUGAACGCUGGCGGUAGGCUUAACACAUGCAAGUCGAACGGCAGCACAGUAAGUGCUUGCGCUUACCGAUGGCGGGACGCGGACGGGUGAGGAAUGCAACGUACCCUACACUUUCGGGGGGGACAAGGAAGGGAGACCUACGACAAUAUCGCAUCGGACCUUGAGGUGGAGGCAGGGGGUCUUCUCGCUUUGGGCGAGGGACUGAGCCGAUGUCGGAUUAGCUAGGUGGCGGGGUAAAGGCCCACCAAGGCGACGAUCCGUAGCUGGUCUGAGAGGAUGAUCAGCCACACUGGAACUGAGACACGGUCCAGACUCCUACGGGAGGCAGCAGUGGGGAAUAUUGGACAAUGGGCGCAAGCCUGAUCCAGCCAUACCGCGUGGGUGAAGAAGGCCUUCGGGUUGUAAAGCCCUUUUGUUGGGAAAGAAAAGCAGCAGGUUAAUACCCCGCUGUUCUGACGGUACCCAAAGAAUAAGCACCGGCUAACUUCGUG